CUACGCCAAUUAGAAGCCAUCAACUAACUUACAUAACUAGGGACUUUCCAAUAGGAUGGACUAAACAAGGCAACUAUAUAAAUAUAAUUAAUCAAAUAUUUUCUUUGCCUUGUUUCCUUGUUCAUCCUAUAGAAGUCUUCCACUUGCAUUCCUUUGGUGGAGUCCCAAAUCACUUUUGAUUUGUUGCUGUCUGAUUCAUGAAUUGCUGUUUGCUCAGACAAAACUCUUUAAAAUUUUAUUCUGCCUCAGUUUAUACUUUAACAAUACCAAAACUUGUACACAAAUGUUCAUAGCAGCUUCUAGGUGUAGAGCCCAAAACCAGAAACAACCCAGGGUCCACCAACAGGUGAAUGGACAAACUGUAGUAAAACAGAUACACAAUGGAACACUGCUUAGCAAUAAAAAGGAAUAAACUCUGACACAUGCUUCACCAUGGAUAAAUAUCAACAAUUACUCUGAGUAAUAGGAGCCAGGCAACAGAAGUACUUACUAUAUGAUUCUAUUUAUAUAAAAUUUUAGAAAAUGCAAGGUAAUUUGUAGUUAACUGAAAGUAAAUCAGUCAAUGAUUGCCUGUGGGAGGUGGUACCAGGAAGGAAUUAUAAAAAGGGGUGAAAAAACUUUUGGGAGUAAUGGAUUUGCUCAUUACUUUGGUUGCAGUGAUGAUUUCACAGGUGUAUACAUAUGUUAAAACUUAUCAAAUUGCACACUUUAAAUAUGUGGUUUAUUUUAUGUCAAUUAUACCUCAAUGAAGCUGUUUAAAAAAUAAAGCCAAGUCAGAUUCAGUAGCAGUGCCAAAAAGGCAUUUGUAAAACAACAACAAAAAAAAACCCCUCCAGUUUGUUUACUGAAGUAUAAAGAUUUGUUGAUUAUGAAUUUGCAUUUAAAAAACAAAACUAAGCCCCUCAUCUCCCCAAAAAUAGAGUACUACAUAUUUACAUAUUCCUUUAAAGGUCUUACCAUAUCUUUUCUCCUUGCCUUGUGACUUGGAGACAACAGAAGUGUUAAAGAUAGUUAAUGCUACAGCACUGGUCCCUUACAUAAUAAUAAGACCCUUAAGGAGUUUUUACUCAAUCUUGAUUAUACACAAUUUUUGGUACUAUGAACACAAAUGUUAUGCAUCAUUUCCAGGACAUGUACAUUGCAUGCAGUAUGUCAAGCUAACUUGGAAGACUAAUCUACUGCCCUCUGAAAGAUAUAAUCCAUUUGAGUGUAUUAUAAAACAUAUUCUGUAUAAUCUUCCUAAAUUUUCUGCACAGAACAAUUUCUCAUUAAGGUUUUCAAAAACUAAAUUUAUAAUUUUGAGUUCAUUUUUUACAAAGCAAAAACAAAGCCACACAAUUAUUUGGAAAACAUAACCAGUCAGAAAACUAAAGCAUUAUGAAGUGUAAAUAUCUAGGAAGGAGGAGAUCAGAAUGUUUCAUUUCUUGAUAAGUUCUUGAUUACUUGAUAAGUAUUACAGUGAUGCAUGGGUUGUCAACAUGUUAUUGAAUAAGUGGUCUGUAAGUACUGAUCAUCUGAAAGCAGCACUUUUUCAACAAAUACUUGAUUACCUACUGUGUGUCAGGCACUGUGCUGAGUACCAAGGACAAGUAAUAUCAAAUGGAUCCUUUUAACAGCGUGUUUCUGGAGAAAACUAUAAUCAUGGUACCUGGAUUUCAGCAAGACAAAGGAGAAAAAUGUGCCAAACUGUGGCACAGCAAAAACCAGUUAAAGAGUCAAGUGUAACAGCUACUUAAUAGCUAUGUAAUCUUGGGCAUAACACUUCACCUCUCAGGGCCUCCUCUCAAAAAUGAGGCAGUUUUGCCUGAACAGUCAAUGUUCCUUCCAAGAUAUUAUGAUUCCUUUAUUAUGAUUCCACACACACACACACACACACACACACACACACACACACACACAUUUUUGGAGAGCAAACUUGAUUUAAAUGCACAGGCCGUUUAAUCCAGCAAUUCACAAUUCCACUUUCCUGAUUCUAUACUACAGAAGUAUCCAUACUACUAUAUAAAGUCACAUACAUAGGAUGUUUAUCAGUGUUACACGUAACAGCAAAAUAAAAUUAUAAGCAACUUAAUGUUCAUCAAUAGAGGAAAGGUUAAAUUAACUGAAGACAUUUAUACAACAGAAUAUUUUAAAGGAAUUAGGUACAUCUUUAUGUGCUGAUGUAGAUAGUACCUACAAAAUGGUGUUACCAUGUUGCAAAUAUUUUUUCUCAGUUUGUCUUGUCCACAAUAGGCUUGGGAGCCAGAUGGCCUGAAUUCAAAGAUCUGCAUCAUGGUUUUCUACUCUUCAUUACAGACAAAUUCCAUAAUAUAUGUAAACUUCAGUUUCCUCCUCUGUUAAGUGGGAAUAAUUACAGAACCUACCUUAGAGUAUAAUUAUAACACUUAUUCAAGUAAAACAUGACAAGCAUAAGUGCUCAGUAACUGUUAGAUAUUAUUUCCUAUUAAGCAAAGUUUUGUUGGUGGUGGUGGUGGUGGUAAUAGACUCAAAUCUAUCAAUCUUUUCCUAUUUCUUGAUUUUAGCUUCCCUACCUGAAGUAAUCCUAAUAAAAGUAAUUUUUCCCUCAAAUAGAUAGCUAAUUCUUGCCAUUUACCAUGCAAUCCAUGCUCUUGUCACUAGUUUGAAAUGCCAUCUUUAUCAUUAGCAAAAUUCCUAUAUAUGCAUAAGUCCAUUUCUGACCUCUAAACCAGGAAUCAGCAAAUAUUUUAGGUCAGACAGUAAAUGUCACAACCAGUUGAUUCUGCCUUUGCAGCACAAAAGCAGUCACAGAUGAUAUGUAAGUGAAUGAGUAUAGUUGUGUUCCAAGGGACACUGAAAUUUGAACUUCAUAUAAUUUUCAUGGGUCAUGAAGCAUUAUUUUCUUUUUCUCCCCAAAGCAUUAGAAAGUAUAGGGCUGGGCACGGUGGCUCAUGCGUGUAAUCCCAGCACUUUGGGAGGCUGAGGCAGGCAGAUCACGAGGUCAGGAGUUCAAGACCAGCCUGAGGAACACGGUGAAACCCCGUCUCUACUAAAAAUUAGCCGGGCAUGGUGGCAUGCACCUGUAAUCCCAGCUACUCAGGAAGCCGAGGCAGGAGAAUCACUUGAACCCAGGAAACAGAGGUUGCAGUGAGCCAAGAUCACGCCACUGCACUCCAGCCUGGGCAACAGAGUGAGACUCUGUCUCAAAAAUAAAUAAAUAAAUAAAUAAACAAAUAAAUAAAUACAAAAUAAAAAAAAUAAAAAGUGUAAAAGCCAGUCUUAGAUCACAGGCUAUACUAAAACAGGCAGCCAGCCAUACUGGCAACCCCUGCUUUAACUUCUAAAAAAUUUUUACACUUUAAAAAUUUCACAAAAUAAAUACAUGUGAUAAAAAGGUUAAACAACAUAUAAGGGCACACAACCCCAAUCCCUUCUGUGAGCUGGUAGGGAAGAAGAGUGGGGAACAGUCAGCAAACCUAACACAUCUUUCCAUAAGCUCUCAGAAAAGGCAUACUUCUUGUUCGUCCCCACUGUACAGACAAAGAAACAGACCAGAGAGGGAAGGGUUGAUCUAUAUUUGCCAGUCCUUUGUCCUCUGAUACUUAUUUCUCCCUGGCUCAGGAUGCCCAAGACUGUGCCUGGACACUCCUACCUUCGCGAUCUCUGUUAUCUCUGUGGUUAUUUCUUCUUUU
RNAcentral lists this long non-coding RNA (3650 nucleotides) under Homo sapiens (human). RNAcentral's name for it is "HSALNT0161815". The record is from RNAcentral. Lineage: Eukaryota; Metazoa; Chordata; Mammalia; Primates; Hominidae.